This 240-nucleotide ribosomal RNA is filed under the name uncultured bacterium. RNAcentral describes it as "partial 16S ribosomal RNA". It matches the Rfam family "Bacterial small subunit ribosomal RNA", at positions 15 to 244 of the family's 1533-position model. The record is from RNAcentral.
GAUCAUGGCUCAGGAUGAACGCUGGCGGCGUGCCUAAUACAUGCAAGUCGAGCGAACAGACGAGGAGCUUGCUCCUCUGACGUUAGCGGCGGACGGGUGAGUAACACGUGGAUAACCUACCUAUAAGACUGGGAUAACUUCGGGAAACCGGAGCUAAUACCGGAUAAUAUAUUGAACCGCAUGGUUCAAUAGUGAAAGACGGUUUUGCUGUUACUUAUAGAUGGAUCCGCGCCGCAUUAG